This 253-nucleotide ribosomal RNA is filed under the name uncultured bacterium. Its description in RNAcentral is "partial 16S ribosomal RNA". It matches the Rfam family "Bacterial small subunit ribosomal RNA", at positions 524 to 776 of the family's 1533-position model. The record is from RNAcentral.
UACGGAGGUGGCAAGCGUUGCUCGGAUUUACUGGGUGUAAAGGGUACGUAGGCGGUCAUGAAAGUCCUGCCUGAAAGGCUAGGGCUUAACCCGAGUUUGUGGUAGGAAACUUCAUGACUUGAGGGUGAGAGAGGUAAGCGGAAUUCCCGGUGUAAGGGUGAAAUCUGUAGAUAUCGGGAGGAACACCAGUGGCGUAGGCGGCUUACUGGCUCACUUCUGACGCUGAGGUACGAAAGCUAGGGGAGCGAACAGG